CUCCUCAAACAGGAAGUGGCAAUGCCCGAGUUACUAGUUUGUGGACAACGGAUUUUAUUAAACACUACUGGGGUUUAUACGGGUACUGAAAAACUGUGACUCUGUAGUACCCGACCAUCUGUUCCGCUGGACAGCGGCUGGUGGAGUCAGCAGCCGCCUCAGACACCUCUCCCGACUGCGGUCGUUCACUGUCUGUGGCGUAAACCCUGAGAUCAUCACCCUCCCUACUCCCAGGCCUUCCCCGUUUCAUUAUUUCUAUCAAAGGGAGUUGGGGCUGGGCCUGUGGGUGCACAGCACCUUGGACCUUCGGCUUCAUGGUGUCUUCCUUAUCUUCUCAGAACUUGGGCCCAGGUCACUUAGCCCGAUCUUUCUCUGAACUUUAGACUUGCAUAUGGAAUAUAUAUUUAACAUCCACUUCGUUGUCCAAAGCAACCUUCCAGGCCUCUCCCCCACUGAACAAGGAAAGAAGUUUAUCCUUCCGCACCCGCCCCUUCAGCAGAGGACACCUGAGGCCCUCUUUGUCCUGGCUUCCUUACUCGUCGCAGCAAAACCUCGGCUGUGCAGCCCUCACCCAAGCCCAGGCACCUGCAGCCCCCACUGCCUGUUGCGGUGGAACCUGGAGGUCUCCUGCCCUCGCGGCCCCAGUCCUCUGCACAGUCAGCGAUCCGUUGGAAACCCAGUCUAGGCUGGCCUUGAAUUGAAGCAAUCUUCCUGCCUCAGCUUGCAAAGCGCUGGGAUUACAGCUAUGUGUCAUCAUGCCUGGCGGCAGUCUUUGCAUUCUUGAUAAAAGAAUUCAGUGAAGAUACAGACAAGUGUUGUGAAAGAAAGGCAGAA
This 834-nucleotide long non-coding RNA is filed under the name Heterocephalus glaber (naked mole-rat). RNAcentral's name for it is "lncRNA (ENSHGLG00000033249.1)". Lineage: Eukaryota; Metazoa; Chordata; Mammalia; Rodentia; Bathyergidae. The record is from RNAcentral.